UUGCCAGCAGCCGCGGUAAGACGAACCGUGCGAACGUUGUUCGGAAUCACUGGGCUUAAAGGGCGCGUAGGCGGACUUGCAAGUCUGCGGUGAAAGCCUCCAGCUCAACUGGAGAAGUGCCGUGGAUACUGCGGGUCUCGAGGAGGGUAGGGGCAUCUGGAACGUUGGGUGGAGCGGUGAAAUGCGUUGAUAUCCAACGGAACUCCGGUGGCGAAGGCGAGGUGCUGGACCCUUUCUGACGCUGAGGCGCGAAAGCCAGGGGAGCGAACGGGAUUAGAUACCCCUGUAGUCC
Molecule: ribosomal RNA, 292 nt
Filed under: uncultured bacterium
Lineage: Bacteria
Description: partial 16S ribosomal RNA
Rfam family: Bacterial small subunit ribosomal RNA
Source: RNAcentral